This is a long non-coding RNA of Lycium barbarum (goji berry), 633 nucleotides long. RefSeq lists it as uncharacterized. The record is from RefSeq and is a predicted model, not a curated record. The transcript has 3 exons. NCBI's taxonomy places the organism in Eukaryota, Viridiplantae, Streptophyta, Magnoliopsida, Solanales, Solanaceae.
UAGCCUUGAUUUAAUCCUAAAAAUCGUGUCCUUGUUGUAGUUAUACCAAGCGCAAGACGCUCUUCGACGUGAUACAAUUUGUUUGGCACAAGAAUCACGUUUGCGGCAAGUCGGAUUUUCAAGAAAAGAUUCCGGACGAAACGGGAUUUGAUUUUAGGGAGAGCAUAAGACGUCUAUAAGGUACAGACAUUGGUGAUCCUCCACUGUAGGCUUCACUUUUCUGCUAUUUCGGAGUACUCCUCCUUGAUCCGGAGUCCACUUCUGGUACAGACAUCUUUUGCUAUGUAUAUUUUGUACAUCUGACUAUUGGGUACGGCGGGGCCCUGUCUCGCCAUAUGUCUUUGUUUUGGAUUCGUAGAGGCCUGUAGUCAUGUGUGUGGGGCGAGGGUCCUAUAUAUGUUUAUUCGAUUUUGUUUUCUGGUCUUAAAGCGGUCCGUUUGUUAUGAUGGCCCUAAAUGGCCCUUAUGCUUAUAUUUGCACUUAUGACCGGCGAUGUCUAUUCCGCCGCUCCUUUCGGAUUCGAUAUGAUAUUUUGAUAUGUGCGACCGCUUAAGACAUACUUUGAUAUAAAUUAUGUUUGAUAUGACUUUUAUGAAAUUUUGAAAUAAGUUUGGAUUCGGUAAAUGAAUGUGC